RNAcentral lists this ribosomal RNA (504 nucleotides) under uncultured fungus. RNAcentral describes it as "SSU rRNA". It matches the Rfam family "Eukaryotic small subunit ribosomal RNA", at positions 248 to 755 of the family's 1831-position model. Lineage: Eukaryota; Fungi. The record is from RNAcentral.
GAUUCAUAAUAACUUCUCGAAUCGCAUGGCCUUGCGCCGGCGAUGGUUCAUUCAAAUUUCUGCCCUAUCAACUUUCGAUGGCAGGGUCUUGGCCUGCCAUGGUUACAACGGGUAACGGAGGGUUAGGGCUCGACCCCGGAGAAGGAGCCUGAGAAACGGCUACUACAUCCAAGGAAGGCAGCAGGCGCGCAAAUUACCCAAUCCCGAUUCGGGGAGGUAGUGACAAUAAAUACUGAUACAGGGCUCUUUUGGGUCUUGUAAUUGGAAUGAGUACAAUUUAAAUCCCUUAACGAGGAACAAUUGGAGGGCAAGUCUGGUGCCAGCAGCCGCGGUAAUUCCAGCUCCAAUAGCGUAUAUUAAAGUUGUUGCAGUUAAAAAGCUCGUAGUUGAACCUUGGGCCUGGCUGGCCGGUCCGCCUCACCGCGUGCACUGGUUCGGCCGGGCCUUUCCCUCUGGGGAGCCUCAUGCCCUUCACUGGGUGUGCUGGGGAACCAGGACUUUUAC